CCUACGGGUGGCAGCAGUGAGGAAUAUUGGUCAAUGGCCGGAAGGCUGAACCAGCCAUGCCGCGUGAAGGUCAGUGCCCUAUGGGCGUUAAACUUCUUUUGUGCGGGAGCAAUAAUGGUCACGUGUGGCCAGACGAGAGUACCGUACGAAUAAGCAUCGGCUAACUCCGUGCCAGCAGCCGCGGUAAUACGGGGGAUGCAAGCGUUAUCCGGAUUUACUGGGUGUAAAGGGAGCGUAGACGGCGAGGUAAGCCUGAAGUGGAAGCCCGCGGCCCAACCGCGGAACUGCUUUGGGAACUGUUUUGCUGGAGUAUGGGAGGGGUAAGCGGAAUUCCUGGUGUAGCGGUGAAAUGCGUAGAUAUCAGGAGGAACACCGGUGGCGAAGGCGGCUUACUGGACCAUAACUGACGUUGAGGCUCGAAAGCGUGGGGAGCGAACAGGAUUAGAUACCCCAGUAGUC
RNAcentral lists this ribosomal RNA (459 nucleotides) under uncultured bacterium. RNAcentral describes it as "partial 16S ribosomal RNA". It matches the Rfam family "Bacterial small subunit ribosomal RNA", at positions 338 to 795 of the family's 1533-position model. The record is from RNAcentral.